AAGAGAGACGGAGAGCGGUUUCAUCCUCUGUCAUCUAUUGUCUCUUUGGUUCUCUCUAAUGGCCACCUCGAAAAAGCCAUUACUCUUCUUAGUACUCUUACCCCUAAUUUUCACGCAAAUUACAGCUGACCCAUCACCUGGAAACGUCGAGACUCUCUCGUCGGAACAUGGAGACUCUGCUCUUAAGCAUGAAGUCGACUACCUCGGCUCCAAGAUUUCAGUUUUAGAAUCAAGUGUUGAUGAAAGAAUCCGUGAAUUGAGGAGAAAGGAUGAGAGUAUUAGACAAUUGGAUACCAUCAUUCGAGAGAAAUCAGACACGAUCUCAUCGUUGAAGAUUGAGAUAGAAUAUUUCGAGCAAAAAGCAUCUCUAGAUGCUAAGGAGAAGAUGAGAAACACGCAUUUACAAGCUGCUGAACUUGAAAAGCAGGUUGACAAUGUUAGAAAGGAAAUAGAAAUGCAGAAUAAGAAAAAAGUGGCACUGGAAGUUCGAUUAAAUGUAGCUGAGGAAAAGAUUGGGGGACUAAAUGUGAAACUAGAAGAUCUUCAAAGGAUUAACAGUGAACAGAAAUCCAAAAUUCAAAAGGCUGAAUGGGCACUUCAACUAGCACAGGAAGAAAUGAUGAAAGCAAUAUUAAGGGCAGCUUCAGUAUCUAAAGCGGUAACUGAGGUCCAUGGAGAGUGGCUUCCACAUUGGUUAGCAGUUCAUUUAUAUCAUUUUCAGGCCUUCUUGGUGUCUCAUUGGAAUGAACUCGGGAGACCUGCUUUGGACAUUACUAUCCAAAAGGUAGUGGAAAAGAAAGAUCAACUUAAAAGGUGGGCUGAGCCCCACAUUAGAAAUGUUGAUGUGUCCUUGGUGUCUCAUUGGAAUGAACAUGGGAGACCUGCUUUGGACAUCACUAUCCAAAAGGCAUUGGAAAAGAAAGAUCAACUUAAAAGGUGGGCUGAGCCCCACAUUAGAAAUGUUAAUACACAUUGGAUCCCAGCGAUGAAGGAAGAAUGGUCAACUUUCAUAAACUAUCUUGAACCUCUUUGUCAGUCACUGCUUUCUAAAAGUAAUGAGGUCUAUCAUGCAUCAAUGAACUCAAUGGCACCACAUGUGGUCAAGGCACGCAUGUUAACAGAUCCUUACAUUCAGGAGGUGAAGAAGUUUGCCGAGCCAUAUGUCAAUCAGGUUGUGAUGGUGACAAGACUUCAUUAUGAAACAAUGGAAGUUGCUUUGAAGCCCUACACCAAAAAGAUGAUUCACACUUAUAGGAAACUUGUCAAUUCUGCUAGUCUAUACCACCAUCAGGUCCAAGAAACUCUUAAAAGCCAUGAAUUAACAAGAACACUUGCAAAUAUGGAUCUAGCAUGGCUUUUGGCGAUUGCUGUAUUGAUUCUACCCGUUAUAGUUCUCUUUCAGCUGUUUUCAGUCAUCUUCAGGUAGAAAGACAAAAAUGCAUGGUCGUGUUGCCCACACACGACAGAGGGUCAAGAGACGUCAUCCUCACAAAUGAAUCAGUGAAGGUUAGCUGGAGUCAGGAAUUCUUGGGAAAUGACCUGAGUUAGAUGAAUCAACAGAAUGCUCCACAAGUCAUAAAAAGGAAUCAUUUUAGUAGCAAUCGAGCUGGUUGAAACCAUGAAUUGCAAUCAAAUACAGCAAUUGAGUUAAUGUCAGCAUCUGGUUCCUAUCUCUCAGUGCCUCAAACAACAUUAUCAUACAACUUUCUUCUUUAGGUUGCUUGUCUUUUUGCAUAUAGAAAAUGAGUCUUAACACUAAUCUCUUCCAGCAAAAGGGGGUGACCUAGUUAAGGGUCAAGAGAGUUGGGAUUUUCUCUGCAAUGGGUUUGUUUUGUUUCAGAGAGGAUCUCCUAGUCUCUUUCAUUUCAUAUUACAAAGGUAAUCUCAAAAAAUUAGGUAGUGAAAUAAGGAGUUGGACAACAUUCUGCUCAAGUCGAUACUUGAUCUUUACUAAAUUAUCUAAGUAGCGUGUCGUCAUUCGCGUAUGUAUAUGUGUGUGUUCGUGUAUGUAUGUGUGUAUUCAUCUCCGUUAGUAGUGUAGCAUACUGUGAGAGAACCAAGGUGGGCUAGUGAGCACUUUAUGAGAUAUGCAUGGAUAGGCUGGGAGGCACACGCUGUUGAAGUUGAUCCCAACCUGAAAAUUUUGUUCCACUUGCUUCAUUCUGUAUCCGAGGCCGAUCCAACUUGAUUUAAACUUGAA
Theobroma umbraticum is the source of this 2200-nucleotide RNA transcript. RefSeq lists it as uncharacterized. The record is from RefSeq and is a predicted model, not a curated record. Lineage: Eukaryota; Viridiplantae; Streptophyta; Magnoliopsida; Malvales; Malvaceae.